GAUGAAGAACGUAGCGAAAUGCGAUAAGUAAUGCGAAUUGCAGAAUUCAGUGAGUCAUCGAAUCUUUGAACGCACAUUGCGCCCUGUGGUAUUCCGCAGGGCAUGCCUGUUCGAGCGUCAUUUCAACCCUCAAGCUCUGCUUGGUGUUGGGCCCUGCCCGCUGCGGCCGGCCCUAAAGACAGUGGCGGUGCCGCCUGGCCCUGAGCGUAGUACAUCUCUCGCUCCAGUGCCCGGUGGUAGCCUGCCAGAACCCCAACUCUCGUGGUUGACCUCGGAUCAGGUAGGAAUACCCGCUGAACUUAAGCAUAUCAAUAAGCGGAGGA
Molecule: unclassified non-coding RNA, 323 nt
Filed under: soil metagenome
Description: partial contains 5.8S ribosomal RNA, internal transcribed spacer 2, and large subunit ribosomal RNA
Rfam family: 5.8S ribosomal RNA (bases 1-120)
Source: RNAcentral